This 440-nucleotide ribosomal RNA is filed under the name uncultured bacterium. Its description in RNAcentral is "partial 16S ribosomal RNA". It matches the Rfam family "Bacterial small subunit ribosomal RNA", at positions 338 to 795 of the family's 1533-position model. The record is from RNAcentral.
CCUACGGGGGGCAGCAGUGGGGAAUAUUGGACAAUGGGGGAAACCCUGAUCCAGCGACGCCGCGUGAGUGAAGAAGUAUUUCGGUACGUAAAGCUCUAUCAGCAGGGAAGAAAAUGACGGUACCUGACUAAGAAGCCCCGGCUAACUACGUGCCAGCAGCCGCGGUAAUACGUAGGGGGCAAGCGUUAUCCGGAUUUACUGGGUGUAAAGGGAGCGUAGACGGCAGUGCAAGUCUGGAGUGAAAGGCCGGGGCUCAACCCCCGGACUGCUCUGGAAACUGUACAGCUGGAGUGCAGGAGAGGUAAGCGGAAUUCCUAGUGUAGCGGUGAAAUGCGUAGAUAUCAGGAGGAACACCAGCGGCGAAGGCGGCUUACUGGACUGUAACUGACGUUGAGGCUCGAAGGCGUGGGGAGCAAACAGGAUUAGAUACCCGAGUAGUC